AGUGAACGCUGGCGGUGGGCCUAACACAUGCAAGUCGAACGGCAGCACAGUAAGAGCUUGCUCUUACGGGUGGCGAGUGGCGGACGGGUGAGGAAUACAUCGGAAUCUACUUUUUCGUGGGGGAUAACGUAGGGAAACUUACGCUACUACCGCAUACGACCUACGGGUGAAAGCAGUGGAUCUUCGGACCUUGCGCGAUUGAAUGAGCCGAUGUCGGAUUAGCUAGUUGGCGGGGUAAAGGCCCACCAAGGCGACGAUCCGUAGCUGGUCUGAGAGGAUGAUCAGCCACACUGGAACUGGGACACGGUCCAGACUCCUACGGGAGGCAGCAGUGGGGAAUAUUGGACAAUGGGCGCAAGCCUGAUCCAGCCAUACCGCGUGGGUGAAGAAGGCCUUCGGGUUGUAAAGCCCUUUUGUUGGGAAAGAAAAGCAGCAUGUUAAUACCUCGCUGUUCUGACGGUACCCAAAGAAUAAGCACCGGCUAACUUCGUG
Molecule: ribosomal RNA, 492 nt
Filed under: uncultured bacterium
Lineage: Bacteria
Description: partial 16S ribosomal RNA
Rfam family: Bacterial small subunit ribosomal RNA
Source: RNAcentral